Acanthosepion pharaonis is the source of this 93-nucleotide non-coding RNA. Lineage: Eukaryota; Metazoa; Mollusca; Cephalopoda; Sepiida; Sepiidae. The record is from the annotation of a GenBank genome assembly.
AAACACCCAUUCUUGUAGGAUCACCAAAGUUAAGCAAUGUUGGUCCUGGUCAGUACCCAGAUUGGUGACCACCUAGGAGUACCAUGUGUUGUG